AAAAAUAAGGGCUAACCCCCUUCACUCCUACCAC
This 34-nucleotide transfer RNA is filed under the name Alligator sinensis (Chinese alligator). Its description in RNAcentral is "partial tRNA-Met". Lineage: Eukaryota; Metazoa; Chordata; Crocodylia; Alligatoridae. The record is from RNAcentral.